GGGGCCUGCAGAAGAGUCUUUCGAUUUGAUCUCGUUGCACCUGGGCCCUUUUGCCUGCUGUAGCCGAGGGAGCUUUUCUGAGCCUCUUCAGACCGCUCUGGGAUGCCGACUUGCAAAGUGUCCUUAGGACUAUGUAGGCCGAUGUCAAAGGCUCCUGCUGGUCCAUUACCUAGGGACCAGAAACAUAAAUUAUGUCGCCGUAGUUGACAGUGCCCCAGCAGCCUGGAGGGAAGAGAAGGUCCAGAUUAAAGGGCUUUAGCCGGCUGUGGUGGUGCACGCCUGUAAUCCCAACACUCGGGAGGCUGAGGCAGGAGGAUCGUUAUGAGCUCGAGGCCACCCUGGGCUACAAGGCUCCCAACCAGGUUUUCUGGACUAAGCUGACACCUUCCUAGUACAAGGACAGCACCCAGGAGGACUAGAAACUGCACCCUGUCCCCAUCCUGCGUACCUCCCAGUGAGUUCCUCAGGACUUCUCCUACCAGAGGCCCGAAAGCCCUGCCUCCCUAGGAGCAAGCAAGCUGGGGACCCGGAAGGCGGCUGAGCUUCGGGAAGAAGCAGACCUGAGAGCGCUCUUGUUCUUCACCCUGGAUGGAGAAGAGUAUAAAGUACAAGUCUGAGCUGAGAGAAUGCAAGGGCCCACUUGGGGAGACACAUUCAGCUCAUUCCGUUAGACAGGACAGCCAGCGCUACAAGGAAUAUCAGUGCUGUGAGGAAGCGGCAGGUGGGUGGGUGAGGGAGGGUAGGUUAUCAACAAGCCUUGUCGUUUCUGCUUCUGGGGUGUUCCUUGCAAAAAUUUUCUCUUUUCCUGUCCCUGUUGCCCCUUCUGUUCUCUUCUCAGCACAUCUUACUCCCUGAUUGGGUCACUGCAACCUGCUUUUAGAAAGAGCUUUCCAAAACACAAUCUCUCCUCUAGUUCAGUUCUGCCCAGCUCUUCUUGGUAGUAAUGGCUCUCGAACUGAUUUGGUCUCAGAUCGUCUUUGCAGUCUUAAAAGUCCUGGAGGACCCCAAAGAGCUCUUCUAUAUGUUGGUCAUAUCUAUCAAAGGUUACCAGGUUAGAAAUGAAAAGUGAGAAUAUUUAAAAAUACUUAUUAAUCGUAAAAUGGAAAGCAGACCCAUUACAAGUGGAUUUUUUUCCUCUGAAAAAUAGCUAAGUUUCCCAAGACUUUUGUGAGCAAAAUACUUUGUGAGCAACGUGGUAUUGUUCUGCAGUUCUGCAAAUCCUCUUAUUGUCUGGCUUAAGUAGAACGCAGUUUGAUUCUCAGCUCUGCUUCUGUAAUCAAGCUGUUGCAAUGUAUUGUUUGGAUUGAAGCGUAUGAAGAAAAUCAGACCUCAUACAAGUAUAUGCUUGCAAAAAAGGAGGAGUACUUUAACCUCUUUCAGAUAAUGGUGAAUAGUUUCUUUAAUGCCACACCAAAACCCAACAAGCAGUAGUUUUUUAAAGAUGAGUUGCCAUGUGGAACGUGGUUUCAGUAUCAAUGAACAUUUUUACUCUGUUACAUUGAAAUCCAUUUCUUUCACAUUUAGAGUGGAUAUUUCAUCCAUCCCCUGCAUGAUUUUGCAACAUCCUGUGGAAUAUGUUGGGUCACCACCUUAUGCAGAUCCUCCUAACAUUGACACAUUUCAUAGCACUGUUGAGUGUCAAAGAAUAUCAUUAGUGGUAUCAUUGAAUUACCACUGAUGACAAACCCUGGUGUAAAUUUUCCAACAUUUUCAUUUUUUCCUCAAAAGCUCAGAUCUUUUUCAUUGGCAAUAAAUACUGUCAGUUGUUUUUCAGGAAGUGACAAGCUCACUGCAUUUAUUUUUUAAGAAAAUACCUACCAAAUACCCAAAGUGAAUAACCAUAAUUUCCAGGGAGCAGUUAUUCCUUCAAGUAAAAGUGGUAUUCCAUGAACAAUGUCUGGUUUCACCUGCAGCUCAAACCACUGCCCAAGUACUUUUCCAAGUGAAAACCAAGGUGCUCUGGUAGGAAACGGCAUGGCCUCAUGAAUCCUCAUUUCCUCGUGCAGAAUGUUAGAAAGUGUAUUCUCAAGGAUCAAGGAUAUUAAUUAAAGUAAUGACUUUACUAUUUCAUUGUGUAUGUUCUUAUCUAAACCCCCCCCCGCUUUGCUUUUGUGUCCUCAUUAUAAAUCUCAAUAAAGUAAUAUGGUGAA
Molecule: long non-coding RNA, 2150 nt
Organism: Chinchilla lanigera (long-tailed chinchilla)
Lineage: Eukaryota; Metazoa; Chordata; Mammalia; Rodentia; Chinchillidae
Exons: 3
Source: RefSeq, a predicted model, not a curated record